CACAUUGUGUAAAUAACACACACGUAUCGGCACAUGCGCCGGGGUGCCUGAAAGCGGUCUGCGCUUGUCGGGUCGGCGUUAUGGGAUACGUGGAGGCAUAAC
RNAcentral lists this small RNA (102 nucleotides) under Gibbsiella quercinecans. RNAcentral describes it as "t44 RNA". It matches the Rfam family "t44 RNA". Rfam says of the family: This family consists of a number of bacterial RNA genes of between 135 and 170 bases in length. The record is from RNAcentral. Lineage: Bacteria; Pseudomonadati; Pseudomonadota; Gammaproteobacteria; Enterobacterales; Yersiniaceae.